UAAACAAUACCAGAGAUCAUUCAUAAACAUCAAACAUUUGUUUUAUCAGAUCAGCAUUUUCAUCAACUUUACAGCAGUAAAACAUCGAUUGCGUUUUCGCCGUGAUAAUUUUAACAAAGGGAUUACAAGAUGAAAUCAUGAGAUGGUGGUGGACUGCGCCAUCAGACAUUAGAGCAAUACCACUGUGGCAAUACCAAGCCCCAAGGGUGACAGGCCCAAGCAUUCUAGGGGCCUAUCAAGCAAUACGAAUGGGAACACAGUGAAGACUUAAAUUUCAAUCGUUCUGGAGGACCAGGAUUUGGCAAAGAUUACAAGACGAGGAUGUUCACUAAUACUGCAUUGAACAUGUUCAGUGGAUUUUAGUUUAGCAACAACAUCAUGAGGACGGGAUCGUGCUACAUCAGAACACAUCUCAUGAGAAGAGAGAAAACUAAUCGUUACAAGGAAUUGUCUUGGAUAUAAAACGAAGAAACGAAAGUAUUUGUAAAGCGAAUACAGAACCAGCGAGAUUCAACAACGACUUGGUCUUAAUAUAUUUGGAGUACUAAAGGUUAUACCGAAGUUUACGAUUGAC
This is a long non-coding RNA of Dendronephthya gigantea, 574 nucleotides long. RefSeq lists it as uncharacterized. The record is from RefSeq and is a predicted model, not a curated record. Lineage: Eukaryota; Metazoa; Cnidaria; Anthozoa; Malacalcyonacea; Nephtheidae. The transcript has 4 exons.